Molecule: unclassified non-coding RNA, 1888 nt
Filed under: Hevea brasiliensis (rubber tree)
Lineage: Eukaryota; Viridiplantae; Streptophyta; Magnoliopsida; Malpighiales; Euphorbiaceae
Source: RNAcentral
AACUAUCAGUUGUAUUCAACAGUUAAACCAAACAGACCCUUAAGUUCAAACCUCAAUUCCUUCGGCCCUUAAUACUGCAUUUUCUUCUGAAAUACUAAAACUGAGAAUCUUUCAGAAAGCACACUAGACACUAAUAUGCCUAAAGCAAAUAGUCAACAUAGCUAUGGGAAUUAUCAUAACCCAGCAUCCCAUCUUUCUUUCCCUACAAUUUUCUUUCUGGUUCCAAAUUGUUGGGAAGCUAACAUGCUGGAAUGUAAAGCUUCACAGGGAAAUUAUUUUUCUACUUGUGUGUAAUCCUCUUUCUACCACCACCCCUACUUGAUAGUGUAUUCUUUGAAGUGCCUGUAAGUUUCUUUGGAGGUUCUUCCUCACUUUUUGCAUCAUCACUGCCUUCAUCAAAACUCUCAGUUUUGUCCGAGGACUCUUCGUCUGGCAAUUUUCCAAAAGUUUUCUUUGUUGACAGCUGAUCUCGAAGCUCUCUAAGUUUUCGUUUCUUUGAAUUCAAAACCCCAAGAAACUAGAAGCAGAGAAUGGCCCAGUUAGUCCUAAAAUAUGAAAAGAGAUGCAGGAUGAGCAUUGACUCUAUUAGCUCAAGUAGAUGGCUGAAACUUAAUGAUGAAGUGCAUUAAAAUACUCAACUGCAAAACAUAAUUUCUAUCUCACUAUAUUUGAAAACAUAUUGACUAAGAAAUACCUUUAUGUAGGAUAGAAACAAGAUAUGCAAGAGCCAUUAACAAUCGACUUUAGAAUAGAGUGCCUUUAGUCAUUAGAAUUGAGCUUCUCCAUACCUAAUGUCUCAUAGAGCAAAAGUUACCAUGACAAGAUGCUUCAUCAAUUCAUCAAAAGAUAGAAAAGCAAAAUUGGCAAACAAGAUUCUUCUCCUAAAUUUUCUCAGUAAAAGGCUAAAGUAGUAUUUCUUACUUGUUCCUUUGUCAUCUGACAGCUAGAUAAAACAUUCAAAAAAAAUCAUCAGUGACUGGAAAUUCAAAAAUCAGAUCACAAAGAUGUCAUACAUCAAAAUCCAACAUGACAAGAAAUUUUUUUGGUGCAUAAACCAAACACGGGCUUGUAAUGUUGAAGGUUCCUAAACUUAUUUAAGCAAACAUGUUAGCGGACAUCUUCCCAUUUUACCAAUCUUCAACUAAAAUUCUUGUGGUAAAACUAGCAAAUAUCAAGAAACAAUGUGAUUGGACCCAAAAAGAAAAAGUAGCGUAAUAAUGAUAAGAAUGCUAGACAUUUAAAGGCACAUACCUUCGCAUAUAUUGCAGAUUCAAAUUCCAUCUUCUCACUGUUGAAUUUCUCACUUUGUGUCAAACACUUCUCAGCUUCCUCCUUCAGCCGUUCAUAUGAUUGAGUCUGUCUGACAACUUCUUCACUCAGCCUUAUAUUUGCAUCCAUGAGAAAGUCCAAGAUUCCAGCAGUAACCUUCUUACUAUCAGGUGAUGGUAGGCACUUCCAUCGCCAUUCUAGCUUAAUCCCUUCUUUUUCAAAUGUCCAUGACAAUCGUUUAUGGCCAUCACCGGCAUCGGUAAACAGAUAAACGGAACCGGGCUGUUGAAACCCCAGGUAUUGCUCGGCCAAAUGAAUGUAUUCGGACACCGGCUGGUCCCACUGCGAUGCUCUCUCCCUCACCUGCUCUUCCGUCGCAUCGCAGACCCAAGCGUUGAGGCCAUCGGUGAUGGACACGUGGAAGUGAGAAUCGAACCAUAUGCCUUUGACGAAAAUUGGUUCGGAUUGGGCGGUGGGGAUUUGAAGCUUCAGGCAGGUGUGCCUGGGAGCUGUUAUUUCCAUUGAGAAGCUGCAAAAGGCAGUAAAAGGUUAUGCUUACUAUGCAGAAAGAAGGAGAGAGAGAGAGGCACUCGAUUUUAGUCUUCCCGCCCCCUGCCGG